Molecule: ribosomal RNA, 217 nt
Filed under: uncultured bacterium
Lineage: Bacteria
Description: partial 16S ribosomal RNA
Rfam family: Bacterial small subunit ribosomal RNA
Source: RNAcentral
AAGGCGACGAUCAGUAGCCGACCUGAGAGGGUGAUCGGCCACAUUGGGACUGAGACACGGCCCAAACUCCUACGGGAGGCAGCAGUGGGGAAUAUUGCACAAUGGGGGAAACCCUGAUGCAGCGACGCCGCGUGACUGAAGAAGUAUCUCGGUAUGUAAAGCUCUAUCAGCAGGGAAGAAGAUGACGGUACCUGACUAAGAAGCACCGGCUAAAUAC